CUACGGGUGGCUGCAGUAGGGAAUUUUCGGCAAUGGGCGCAAGCCUGACCGAGCAACGCCGCGUGAGUGAUUAAGGCCUUCGGGUUGUAAAGCUCUGUUGUAAAGGAAGAACGAUCAGUAUAGGAAAUGAUACUGAUGUGUCGGUACUUUACCAGAAAGCCCCGGCUAACUACGUGCCAGCAGCCGCGGUAAUACGUAGGGGGCAAGCGUUAUCCGGAAUUAUUGGGCGUAAAGGGAGCGUGGGCGGUUUAUUAAGUCUAUGGUGAAAGUGCGGGGCUCAACCCCGUAUGGCCAUAGAAACUGAUAGACUAGAGUGCAGAAGAGGGUAGUUGAAUUCCAUGUGUAGCGGUAAAAUGCGUAGAUAUAUGGAGGAACACCGGUGGCGAAGGCGGCUACCUGGUCUGUUACUGACGCUGUGGCUCGAAAGCGUGGGGAGCAAAUAGGAUUAGAUACCCUUGUAGUC
This 463-nucleotide ribosomal RNA is filed under the name uncultured bacterium. RNAcentral describes it as "partial 16S ribosomal RNA". It matches the Rfam family "Bacterial small subunit ribosomal RNA", at positions 339 to 795 of the family's 1533-position model. The record is from RNAcentral.